Molecule: non-coding RNA, 14107 nt
Organism: Callithrix jacchus (white-tufted-ear marmoset)
Lineage: Eukaryota; Metazoa; Chordata; Mammalia; Primates; Cebidae
Source: RefSeq, a predicted model, not a curated record
GCCUCUUCCAGGAGCCUCAAGGCCUCCAGGGCUUCAGUGUCUGGGGCUUUGUCCUCAGCUGGGCCCUUUGUGCCACUGAGGGUCAAUGCUUGUGUGGUUAAAAGAAAGAGUUGGUCCAAGCAUGGGUGCGUGCCCGCAGGGUUUAUUUCUAUGUAAAUACCUUUUCUGCUUUGUUCUCAGUGCUCACGGAGGGAAGGAGAGAGAAGGGGAGGAGGAGGACUCUGUAGGGAGCACUCUCGGCUUGGCCUACCAGCCCCAGCAGGGUCCUUCCCACCACCCUCUGGGUGGAGAGUGACCCCCUGUGCAGUGUGGGGCUCAUCUGGCCAGACGGGAGGUGCUGGGGUGGGCAAGGUCCCCGGGCUCUGAGUGGUGUUGGCGGACAGGGUGGGCUCAGGCUCACAGGGGUGGCCCAGCCAGGCCUGAGCACUCCUCCGAAGCUUAUGUUACGUGAGCCUUGCCGUUCAGGGCUCAUUCUCGGGGUGUGGUGAGGUGGACGCCACAUUCUGCGGGUGUCACUCCAAGUUCUCACCCUGCAGUGUGUGGGUGGGUUCAGCCGGUCCUGCCAGACGCCGGGAGGGAAGGGGAUCUGGGGAUGGCCCCAGGGUGGGGCUCAGUUUACAGGGCCCAGCUUGGGGACAGCUCCAGGGGAUACCUCAGGAGCCUCCUGGGGUGGGGGGGCCAGCCCCCAGUGCAUGGCUGUGUGGUCCAAGCGCCUGUCUCCCUGCCACAUGGCCUCAACUCUGGCCCAGAGACCGGCCCUGGAGGGAGAGUGUGGUCCGAACCCUAGGGCUGGCCCCUGCCCAACGAGGCUCAGGGACGCCCGGGAGCCUCCAGGGUCUCUGGGUCCCACUACUGGGGGCUGACGGGUUGUGACAUUGGCCCUGCGGCCACACGUGCUCCCCCCUGCCCUGGGCUCAGGCACUCUGGGGGGCCCAGCUGCUUCUGUCUUGGCCUCCCCGGGUUGGGAGGGGGCUGAGGGCUGUGGGGUGGGCCUCCAGGUGUUCCUGACUGUGGCCCCCGGGGCUGGGCCAAAAGCCUGGGUCUGCAGUCUCUGCCUGGGGACUAUGGCUUGAGUCCCUCGGAGGCCUGGUGGGGACAGGCCAUGGCGAGCGGGGUCCGAGAGCCCCAGACCUGGCGGCUUCACGCUGAUGGGCCCCCGGCAGGCAGCUCCCUCCUCCAGCGGCGAUCAGGCCGCGGAUGGACGGUUUUACCAGACAGUAAUUAGACAGAGGGCAGGUCUAACCGUGUCUGGUAAGACGUUCAUCCCCCGGCAGUGGUGUGGGCGGCCUCUGGGGUCCUAGGCUGGUAUCCUGCAGGGUCUGUGGAGGGAAGGCCAGGAGGUGCCCCCCCACCUGCCCCGAUCCCUCCUGGAUCUGCAGAAGGAACCCCCAGGCGCUUCCCUGACAGCCUCAUCCUGGCACCUGGCCCCAGCCCGGCCGCAUGUGGUGCUGAGAGCCAUCUGGUCACCCUGGCCCUGCUCUUGGCAAAGAUUCCCGCAGCCCCUCACUGGCUCCUUGACACUCCGUCAGGUUAAUGAGUAACGGAGAGACCAGGGCAGCCACCCCCUCCCCAGGCUGGGGCCUAGUGUGGGGUGUGGUUCCAGGUGCCCUGGCUGCAGAUCAAAAUGAUUAAACAGUGGGUGAUCCUGGCUUCCUGGGUUUCGGACAAGUACCCGUUCUUGUUGAUGGGAGAAGGAAUGAGACCCCUCACCCUGCACCAGGUCACGGCACCGAGCGUCCCGCUCUCCUGCGUCGUUGGUCUUGAGAAUCUGAGCCUACCCUGUCCUUCCUGUGUCCCCUGCAGACCCUCCACGGAGCUGGAGCCGGGGUUCAGACCUCAGGAAGGAGGGAGGCCCCCACUCCUCUCACCUCUCCAGCCCUGGCAUCCCUGCCCUAGGGCCUUUCCUGGAGCUGGGUCACCCCAAAGCCCAGCCUGGGGGAUCCUGGGGUGGGGGAGGCUCAGCUGCUCACGGUGUCAGACCCAGCCUGGGCAUGAGUGACCCAGGGCACCCUCGGCAGAGGCCAGCCUUCCCCUGGGUACAGGGCUUUGGAGCUGACACAGGCCCUCCACUGCCCAGCUCAGCCGCCCUCCACAUCUCUGGCAAGGGAGCUCUGGACGUGCACGUGCAUCGGUGGGGUCCCCGGCGAGCGGUGGGUCACCUUUGAACAUCGUUACCAGACAGUGUUAGAGUAAAGCUGGGAAAUCCAGCACUGUCUGGUAAGAUGCCCACAGGGGCCCCAGUGGCCAGCAGGAGCCGCUGUGGAGUCCAGGGAAGCCACUGCUGGGGAGCAGCCAGGGCGGGGCUGGUACCAGACAUCGGCUGGCGGAGCGUGCUCAGGGGCUGAGACUCCGAGGCUGCACAGGCCCACCCUCCCCGUUUCCUCCAGGCUAAGGGACUUGGGGCCGCAGACCCAGGACCAAGGCGCGGAGCUGGUCUGCUCAGCAUGGCCCACCCCGUCGUGGAAGGAAAGGUGGCUGGUGGGCAGCUUCCUCAAGGCCUCUGGGCUCCACGUGGCUCCAGGCUGGGCCUUGCCCUCCUGAGCCCUUUGUUGAACCCCGUUCAGCCCGCACCUGCUGGGUGUGGUGGCAGCACCUGCCCAGAACUGUGGGCAGGGUCCGGACACCUGAGUGUCCUAAUCCCCGGAUGGCUGUGGGGUGCCCUGGGUGCGGCUGCAGGAAGCAUUGCUUUCUGGGGGCUUGGAGACUCGGGGGGCCCAGACCCCUUCCCAAGGUCACUCCCCCCAUCACUCUCCCCAGAGCCAUCUGGGCUGGAUGGAGUUGGGUCUGCUGAGUGGGCUGUAGGGAGGGGAGUGUGGACUGGGUGGGAGGCCCUGGGGGCCGGGAGGGUCGCCGGUCGCUGCUGGCAGGACCCCGCCGUCAUCAUUACCAGGCAGUAUUAGAGACCUGACUCCAUCCAAUGCUGCCCAGUAAGAUGGCCACGGCUGCCCGAGCUGCGUCUGGGGGCUGCCCGGCUGGGGGCUGUCUGGGACUCACUGGGGGGGCUCAAUAGCUGGGGGGCCUCAUCCUCCUUGGGCACUCAGGAGGGCAGGCCUCAUGAUGCACCAUGGCCUCAGCCACUCUGGGGGCUAAGCCAGGAAGGCUGGGUGCACAGGGUGACCCCCCACCUGGAGUCCAGCAGCCACCGGCUUUGGGGCCUGGGGUGGGUGCCUGGGGACCGAGGGUCAGUUCAGAGUGGGGCAGACAUAGGCCUCUGCUGGCCCCAUCUACGGGGACCCUCCCUCAGGUGGUCCCACAGGAAGGCCUGGACAGCAGCCCCAGCCCCCGGGACCCUGCGUGCUGCCUGUCUGAGGUGGGGGACAAGGGCCUCGGUCUCCAGCAGGUGCUUCCCUGCCCAGCCCCUUCUUUUCUGUCAGGCUCUCCAGACAGGAUGGCCUGUCCCACCUGGAGACCCCUCUCCCAUGCUGCCCUGCUCACUGCAUGGCAUCUGAGGGCAGGGGGUACAGGGGGUGCAGGGAGUGCAGGAGGGUGCAGGUGGUGAGGGUGCAGAUGGAGAAGCAGAUGGGGCUGCAGGCGGGGUGUGGGGUACGGGGGUGCUGGGUGGGUGCAGGGGUUUGCAGAUGGGGUAUAGACAGUGUACGGGUGGGGGCUCGGGGGUUGCAGGUGGCGAGGGGUUGGGGGGCACAGGCGUGGGGACACAGGAGGGGAGGCUCCUGGCUGUGUCUGGCUGGCUCUGUGGUUUGUGUGUCUGCUGGUCUGGGGUCUGCGUGUCUGUGGCUAGUCUGGGGUCUGACCUAGGGGUGCACAGGAGACACAGGUAGCCAGGCCUUGGGUGCUGGGGGACCCAGCACCUCUGCAGGGGGGAGGAAAUGGGCAGCCCUGUGGCCUUUCCUGGCUCAGGCCCUGCCUGGAGCCCAGAGACCACAGGUGCCUAUUCCAGGAACACGAAGGGCCUGAGGGAGAUUCAGCCCUCGGGCCAGACCUGCAGGCCAGGCUCCCUGCCCUCCUUCCCACCCCUUCUCUGCCUGCCCCCCAGGUGAUGACUGGGCGGGAGAGCUGGCCAGAGCCGCUCUUCAAGUUUUCUGGCACCUUCCACCCACAGAGACUGUGGUGGAGGGGGGUGCAGAUCCUGGGCUGAUCCCUGUCUGCCCGCCAACCACAACAAAGGCCGAGUCUGCCCACCCCCCACCUGCUGCAGGUCCACAGGUCCCCAGACUCUUCCUCCAAAGGCAUCUCCCGGACCUGAGCCCCUGGAACCCCAGCAGGUGGAGACGGAUGGGCCUUUCUCACACCGGACCCUCUCUGGAGAUCCCACACCAGGCCCCCUGCCCUGGCCCCGCCUGUCAGCCUUCCCUCACCUCACGGGCCGCCACCACCGAUCCCAUAAAAUCAGUGCUUCAGGAACGCUUUUCACCUGUCUUCUGAGCUAAGGGAAACUAAGACUUCCCAUGCAGAGCAGAGUUGAAUUUCAGCUCCGUUCCUGGCUGCCAGUCCACAUGGGGAGGGUGGCAGGGACCCGGCGCUUGUCCCUUGCAGCUGGGGCCAGACACGGUCCCCAGCCCACCGGGAGGAUGGACGGCCUCCCAAGGCCGGGCUCAGGGCCUGGGGCAGUGUCUCCAGCCCCCUCAGGGAUGCCUCAGCUGGCCUGGCCACCCCAGGCUUCUCAGCCAUCGAGUUCUCACCUGGACCCAGGGACAGAGCCACGGGGCAGGCAGGAGGGAGGGUUCCCAGGCUCCUCCUGAGGCAGAAGCUGUAAAGCCAGCCAGCAGCUGGGUGACAGAGAGGCUGACCCUGGCUCCAGGGCUGGGGUGGAGGCAGGUGGUUGGCUGCAGGGCUGGCUGCAGGGAUCUGGGGCUGCGCAGGGCUGUGCCCGGCAGGGGUGAGGGGUGAGGCAUCCACAGCUGAGUCUUACCGUGGCCACAGGUCAAGAAGUGAGAAGCGGAAAACGAUGCUCCCGGUUUCCCGAGGGCCCCAUGCGGCACUUCCUUGGUCGACUGUCCAGGAAGUGGAGCCAGUGGGUUAAUCAUCACCGCGGGCCAGACCCAGCUCGGGAAAAUUGAGUGAGUCAGGAGGCCCAGGGCCGCCCCACCGAGGGGCUUUCUGCAGAGCACGCGCACCUGGAGGUGCCCCCGGCUGACCUGGCCGCCUUGCCCGCGCCCCGGCCGGGGCCAGAGCGGGUCCCACCUGCUCGGGCCGGGGUGGGGUGGGAGCGCCGGAGAGGAAUGCAGUUCCAGCACGAAAAGCUACCUCGUUGGUUAACCUGCCCAACGGGCUUAAUCAAUGGUGAGGCCUCGGAGAACAAAGCCUGAAACCCAACCCUCCCCAGCCUGGGUGCAGUCGAGCCAGGGGAGCCUGCGGCCAAGGGGGCGGGGGUGUGGGGCUCAGCCUCACCAAGCUCAGGCUCUCCCCUCCGAGUCCUGGAGCUACAGAGCCGCCAUUUCACCCGCAGCCCUCUCUCAGGCCGGCUGUGAGUGUGUCCACCCGCCCCACAGAGGAGAAGCCAGGCUCCUCGGCCGGUUCAUCUUUCCCUAAAUACACUAAAAACUGUUCUCACAAACUCAUCUGGCAAAUAAGUGUUUACAAAUUACCAAAAUGUCUGCAAAGGGGCCGUGAACUGCAUGCACAUUUCACGGCGGAUUUGCACCGUCACAAGUGCAUGUGCUGCUAAUGCUUUUAAACUCUUCAUCUGGUUACCAGAAAAACACAACACAACACCCCUUUCCCCAGAUGCUCGGCCUGAACAGGCCUAAGAGCUCACAGGGAUUAAUUAAAGCAGUGGCUCCUCAGGCCCCAAAAACUUUGUCCAUCGAGAGCAAUGCACCUCCCCUCCCAUCACCACCAUCAAUCAAUUCCCAAAUGUUAAGACUAAGAAAGCAGUGAGGGGCUGUGAAACCCCUUCUGGUGCCCCUAAGGCAAGUUCAAGGCUGGGCCUCGGUAGGUCAGACCUCACGGCCACGGUCACUGCUCCUGCACCCCACCCCAGUCACAGCGUGGGCACCGCCGGCACCUUCUCCCGGCUGAGCUCAACCUGGACCAGAUGAGCCACGGCCCCGGGCACCAAUCUCACUGCCCACAGGCUCUGAACAAGCCCUUCCCGCCGCAGACUCCGGAGCCCAAGGGAGACGCGGGCAUCUUCAGGCCCAGCCGGACCCUUCUCUGCACCCACCUCAGUGGCAACAGCUUCCCUGCUCCGAAUGCAGUGCCUCAGGCCAGCGCUGGCUGUUUCCGGAGAGAACUUUCUAGAAGGCCUAUUGUCAGGUAGGUAGUGAGAACAUGACCCCUCUCGGAGCCUGCCCUCUGCCUAGGCCCUGCCCCCGGCUGAUGGCCCGAGGAUGCCUCACGCCCAGAGCUCACACGCUGCGCCUGGAAGAUGCAGCCUGUGGGCCCAAGAUGGCUCCGAAUCCGAAACCCAGCCACGUCUGAGCAGGGUCCCACCUUUCCCUGGGAGGGGAAGGACCACUUGGCCUGUGUCCGCAGUGACCGGAGCUCCCUGGACGCUGGCAAGGCUGGCCACUGCCCAUCUGUCACCUGCGCUCUUGCCCCGAGUCCGCCACGGAGGGGCCAGGCCAGGCCUCCCCUGCAGGGAGCAGCCUCCUGGAGCCUUGGCUGCCCGCCACCCGCCCUUACCUGCCCUGACAGGUUCUGCCUCUGAGGACGCUCCCGCCCAGCCCUGCAGCCUGCGCCUCCCCCAUGCCAGGCCCGGGUGGGUGUGAACCGGCUUCGGAAGGGAUGGGGGAGACCCAAGUCCCCGUCCGUCCCCAUCCAAGGAGCCGGGCACGCAGCCUCAGCCUGUCCCCAGCCAGGGUCCAGACUUGGGGUGUCGGGGUUGGGAGGGACCCGGCGGCCACCUAGCAGAGAAGAGUUUCCUACCUCCCCUUCAGGGAAAAGCCGGUUUAGACCUGUACAGGUGGACAACUCGCCUGUCUCGGGGAGAGCGUGGAGGGCGAGGGGACAAUGGGAGGAGGCUGCGAGGUGGGGGCCUCGAGAGGGAAGAGCUGCCGGCGGCUCGCCUUACAAGGAGCCACUCCCCGCCCCACACAGGUGCGGGCUCCCACGGCCAAUCUGCGCUCCUGGCUCCCGACAGGUGUGUCCCCUGGGCUCCCAUAGGCCCGGCAGAGUUGGUCGGGAGGCGGGCGGGAGACAGGUGGUGACGCAGGCCCAGGCCCCUGCACACUCCUUCCUGCCCCACCUUGCCACCGGCCCACCGAGGUUGAACAAAAGCCAGGGUGGGAAGGCUUCAGUGGGGCCCUGCGUGGAGCGAGGGCAGCAGGAGCAGCAGCAGGGGCAGCCACGGGCAACUCUGGCCUCUUCCCCCCACCGCCUCCCCCAUCCCAGUCACAGGACUCCUUCCCAGCCUGCCUUAGAAGGGGGCGAGGUGGCCCAGGGUCCCAGGAGCGGUUCUUCCUGGGUCCCUCUUGGUCUGCAGGAGGCUGGAGGCAGCUCUGACCGAGGGAGAGAGAGCACACAGCUCCACCCACAGACGGAAUGCCUGGAGCAACGUCUGCCCUCUGACCUCAAAGGUUAAACCAUCCAGGCUCGGUGGCCUCACGCUUGUCAUCCCAGCACUUUAGGAGGCCGAGUCCAGAGGAUCACUUGAGCCCAGGAGUUCGAGACCAGCCUGGGCAACAUGGUGAGACCCCGUCUCUACAAAAAAUGUAAAAAUUAGCUGGCUGUGAUGGUGCAGGCCUGUGGGCCCCCCGCGGGAGGAUUGCUUGAGCCUGGGAGGUGGAGGCUGCAGUGAACCUCAAUUGCACCGCCGCCCUCCAGCCUGGGUGACAGAGUCAGACCCUGUCUCAAAAAAGAAAACACAAAGGUAAAAGGCCCGAGUUUUCUGCGGGAGGUUAAUAAGUGUCUCUACCUGGAGUUGGUGAAACAGUGAGAGAGCAACUGACCAGCCCUGGGAAAAGGGAAGCCUCUGGCCCUGUCCAUGGUUCCUCCCGCUUGGGCAGCUGUGUCCUGGCCCAGGAGCCGCCGAUUUCAGCCCUGAACAGCCCGGGGCCCUUGACUGUGGACAUGGAGAGUGGCAGGCACUGGGAGGGCACUGGGUGGGCACUGGGCAUGACCCCAUCACCGUAAUAAAAUCCCUGGGUGGCUCCCUGGCUUCAAGGAGGAAUAUUUGCGUCUGGCUGAACACCUGCCUCCCGGCCUCCUGGUGACACCCCAGGCCCCAAACUGUCCUGCCUGAUUCCCGAGUAGCAUGAAAAUGACCUGCAUCGGCCAUGGGGAUGGAGCGGCCGGACUUGUGCACACUUUCUCACCUGCUUUUUAUUUUUCUUAGACGGAGUCUUGGUCUGUCGCCUAGGCCCGGCUGGCGUGCAGUGGUGCGAUCUCAGCUCACUGCAGCCUCCACCUCCUGGGUUCAAGUGAUUCUCCUACCUCAGCCUCCCGAUCAGCUGGGACUACAGGUGCCACCACCACGCCAAGCUAAUUUUUGUAUUUUUGGUAGAGACAGGAUUUCUCCUUGUUGCCCAGGCUGGUCUCGAACUCCUGACUUCAGGUGAUUUGCCUGCUUUGGCUUCCCAGAGUGCUGGGAUUCCAGGCAUGAGCCACCGUGCCGGGCCUCUCACCUGUUUUUGACCCAAUCACGUGGUUUCCACUGCCCUGCUUUCAUCCUGGAUGGACCUGGGUGUGGCUGCGGGAGGCCUGACCCAGGAGGGCAGCAGAAGUCACCCCCAGGCUGAGCCAGCCCGAGGGGACCCAGCCAGCCAGUCCCUACCCCGGCCCCAGGAGCCUCGGGUGGCUCUGAGCUCCGUGGAUGGCCAGUUCCGAGGCCCUGAACUGGGGAAGGGGCACUGCUAACAGAAUGGCUGAAGGCUGAUGCCAGCUCUGCCUGCACUGCUUGGGUGCAGGGCUUGGGGAGGGGAGGCCUACGAGGCUCACUGGCGCAGGUCUCUCUGGGGACAGGGCAGGGCUCAAGCCUCGGGGGGCACAGGCUGGCACUCCCCAUUUGCCAAGGAAGUGAGUGGCCCUGGGCAUUGUGGGUGGCACCUGAGGCCUCUCCCUCAACGGAAAGAGCUGCGGUGGCUCUGUCAGUGGGCAUGAGCUGGUCAGUGUGGGCCACUCCACACCAGGCCCUGAAAGGCGCUGCAGAGUGUCUGAAUCACUGGGAGCGGGUGGCUGCUGAAGGUCCAGGCCUGGUCCACCCGCGGGUAGGACACUGUCAUGGCAGCCGGGUGGGCGGCACUGGGUGGGGACAGCGGUGAGGGGGCAUGGCUCUCCAGGGGCCGGGAGGCCUGACCCAGGAGGGCAGCAGAAGCCACCCCCAGGCUGAGCCAGCCCGAGGGGACCCAGCCUCCAGCCCCCAGCCCUGGCUGGCCUGAGGGCUCCGAUGGGCAGGGCAGGCAGGACAAAGGCCCUUUGUGUUCCGGCUUUGGCUACUUCCUGAUGGCGCCAGCCACAGAGUCCACAGGGUCCUGGAUUCUCCUGCCAGGCUGUGGAGAGUCCCACCUCUGCCAAGGAAAGAAGGGGAGGACUCAAGAGCCUCUGGAGCUUCAGGUUCAGGACUGGGGCCUCUCUCAUGCUGACUCUGGGCUCUGAAGGGACACAGGCUCAGGGCCGCCCAUGGCUCCUCCACUUCCGGGUUCUCCAGCACACAACCCUCACCCCCCAGUGGUUCCCAGGCUCCUUGGCCGCUGGGGCACCAACACCGGGUGGUGGGGUGGGGGCCGGGGACAGCUGCCCAACCCUCCCUGGGAAUGGUGCCCCUCCCAGGGUGUCAGGCCCAGGGCCCUGGCUCACCCUUCCCGACCCUCCACAGUGUCGGGUCUUGACCUGUAUGUCAAGUAGGGGGCUGUGACCCCCCUACUGCUGAGGGAGGUACGGUGGCCCAGCCACAGACUGUGAGAGGGUCUGGGGCUAAUUUUGGCUUUGCGUCCUCUAGCCAGCACCACCCUGGAACACAGACAGACUUUGCUUGGAGAACUUUGGGAGGAAAACCCAGGCGGGGUUUUGGGAGGUGUCCUAGGCGGGGAGGGUGGGCGGCCCCCAGCACCUAGAGCUGGAGAUGAAACAGGAUGCGGUGGAGGCCCCUCCCACCACCUCCCGGGGCGCCCGGCUGUGUCUAUACAAACCCCAGCAUAGGAGACCCCUUUCCACCCUGGCAGGAAGGCCAUGAAGCCUCCAGGCUGAGGAGGAGCAGGGCUGGGGUGGAACCGGGGGUAGGGAUGGAGGGGCUGGGCAGGCUGGGGGUGGGGCUGCAGUCACCUGUACUCCCUGGACCCUCCUGCCGCCUUCACCUCGGGACCCUGAGGGACCCUGAUUCCAGGGCCAAGUGCUCCCCACCCAGGCCACGCCCUCCCGCCAUACUGCCAGGUGAGGCAGGUGACCCCACCAUUAUUCAAUGCUGCACGGAGCGGGACCCUCCAACCACCUUUUCUCCCCUUUCUUCCCAGCUCCUCCCACCUGCCUGAAGGGCCCAGGCACCUGCCAGCCGCUGCAAGCUCAGGGAAUGCAGGUUCAAGCCAGGAAGCUCACUCUGUCCCCAGCCUGAGGUCCUGGGCCUGGUCGUGCUGUGAGACUUUGGGUCUGCACACAGAGAGAUGCCAGGGUGUGGGUGGGCCAGCCUAGCACCUGGGACCCCUGCCUGCCCCCACCUUCUUGUCCUGAACCAAGCUUGUCCAGCCUGGGUCCAGUGGGUCAGCACAGCCUUCUGCAGCCUGGCUCACCCUGACUGGACCCCCUCUGCCUGAGGCCCUGAUGCUCCCAUGUCCUCUCCCACACUGUAUCCAUGAGGGCUGUGGUGCCUAGCAACACCGCCUCUGCUGAAUUCUCAGGAGGUGUUGACCAAAAGUCUGGAAGCUUUGCCCAGGGUCUGAGACACAGCCUUCUCUAGGGACCUGAUCUGCACGCUGUCCCCUUGUUUUCUUUAGUCAUUUGUUGAGAUCUGCCCCAAUCCUCCACAGCCUCACUUGUCCCCAGAGGCCUCUAGGGCACCAAAGCCAGUGGUCAGCCCUCUGGCCUCCCAGCCUAGUCUGUGGGCAGCUGGUCACCAUGCGCCUCCAAGGCUCAGCCCACUAAGCCACCAGGGCAGAGGCACUCCUGGGAACCAGCGGGCUGGGGUGCUGGUGCCAGGGAAAUGGAGGGGUGGGUGCAGAUGGAGGUGAGAUGUCUGGAGGUUGGGAGGAGCCUGUGCACUCUUCCCUGGUGUCCAGGUCACCGGCACAGAUUUCCUGCAGAUUCCAGCUGAGCAGGUGCAGUUUGAGUGGGAGUUUUCCGAGUGGGGAUUCCAUGCUGGUUACGGGAGCCCAGCAGAGCCUUGACAGAGGUGCACGGCCUGCCUUGGUGACAGAGGGAACGGAGGCUGUAGUCAGGGUGGUGGUGCUCUGAGGAAUCCUGGGACUCCUGGGUGGGAAGAGUGUGGGGUCCUGAAGGCCAGAGGAAGAGAGUGCCCCAGGCAGAGGACACGGCCAGUGCCCAGAUGGGCUGUUUGCAGGAGUGCAGGCGGAGAGUCUAAGACCAGUCUCCUGGCCGAGAAUGACUGAAAUGUUCAACCAUCUGAUCAAAGCUUCGAAGAGCCAAGGAGCUGGUAAGAAUCUACGAAGCCCAAACCAUGGGAAAUCGCAGCCUAGAGGACAACGCUGCUUCCUUGGGGGUCAGCAGGUGUGAGCUUUUGCUCCAAUGUGGAGCUCAUCCACCACGAGACCCUCCCUCCAAAACCUCCCAAAGUGGGGAUGAAGUGAAGGUGACUCCAUCCUUGUGAGACCUCACAGCCCCAGUUCAAGCCACCUUGGUCUUCCAGAGAACCCAAAGGCCACUCAGACCAGGCAGUGUUGUCCCAGGUGCUUGGCAGAAGAAAGCAGAAGGGUGGUGCCUUUGCCCAAGGCACCAAAUCAUCCUACAGAUACUUGUUCAAGUACAGUGAGCAGCACAUAGUCGAAGAUAACCGGUCUCGCAGAGGUAUGAUGGAAACAGACCAGUAAGACCUUCAGGGGCCUGAGAUAUUGGAGUUAUCAGACUCAGAUAAAAACAAAUGAAAAUCAGUACAUUGAAAACAAAGACAGGUUUUAUAUUUGCAGAGAACUUUACCUUAUAAAAAUAUGUAGUAGAUUAAAAAAUCUGAAUGAGCUUUUAGACAUGAAAACAUGAUAGCCACAAUUUAAAACUCAAUAGGCUUAACAGAAGAUUUAAAAUUGCUAAAAAGAAAAUUGGAGUCUGGACGUGGUGGCUCAGGCCUGUGAUCCCAGCACUUUAGGAGGCCGAGGCUAGAGUAUCACUUGAGGUCAGGAGUUUGAGGCCAGCCUGGCCAACCUCAUCUCUACUGAAAACACAGAAAUUAGCCAGGUGUGGUGGUACACGCCUGUACUCGCAGCUUCUCAGGAGGCUGAGGCAAGAGAACUGCUUGAACCCGGGAGGCGGAGGUUGUAGUGAGCUGAGAUUGUGCCACUGCACUCCAGCCUGGAUGACAGAGCCAGACCCUGUCAAAAAGAAAAGAAAGGGAAGGGAAGGGAGGGCAGGGGAGGGAAGGAGGGAACUGGGAGACAGGAAAGUGUAAAGUAUUCAGAAUGAAGGCUAGUAAUAUUUUCAAAGACCACGCGGAUAAGAAUGGGACUGCAAAAUACAUACAUACAAUAUAGAGAACUGGAAAAAGAGAAUGGGAGAAAUAAAUAUUUGAAGAGAUAGUAUCUGAGAAUUUUCCAGAACUGUUAGAAGACAUCCCAACACAGAUUCCAGAAGCCCUGUGAAUCUCAAGCAGGAUAAAUACACAGAAGUCCCAGCUUGCCACCUGUGUGAGCCAUCCUGAAAGCCCACAGUGAAAAAUUGAAGAAAGCUGGGGAAGCAUGAGACAGAUUCCCUUCCAGAGACCAGCGGUGGGAUCGACGGCAGACCUGCCCACAGGACAGUGGGGACAGAACACAGUGGAACAACCGCUUUACACUAAACACCAGCCCGAAAGCAAACAAAAACCAGGAGAAGAACUGAGAAUGUUUGCCAUCAGAGACAUUCGCUCAGAGAAUGUGCAAACCACACACUCCUGCAGGACGAUUCCAGGCAGAAGUUUUGCGGUGCAAAAGAUGACAAAAUCUCAAUUAAUUUUGGCUUUGCACAGCAACAGCAGUAACAAUGAACUGUGGAGUCUUUAAAUAUCUGGAAUUAAAGUGCACUUGUUUGCCGGGUGCCAAAGCUCACAUCUGUAACCCCAGCACUGGGAGGCCAAGGCUGGGGGAUGAGUGGGAAGCCAGCUUGGGCAACAUGGUGAACCCCAUCUGUACAAAAAUUAGAAAACAUUAGCCAGAUGUGGUAGUGCAGACCUGGAGUCCCAGCAUUUGGGAAGCUGAGGUGGGAGGAUCGCCUGAGCCCAGGAGAGCAACAGAGUGAGGCUCUGUCUCAAAAAUAAACAAUAAAUAAAAUGCAAUUGCUUACAGUACCACUAGUGGGGAAACCUGGUGGGUACAACCUUAGCCGGGUGAUGGAGGUGGGUGAGGGUUGACGGAGCUGGGUGGUGUGAAGAACAUGGAAGCCCACAGGAUGAUGGAGCUGGGUGGUGUGGAGAGCGUGGAGCCCCCACAGGAUGAUGGAGCUGGGUGGUGUCGAGAGUGUGGAACCCCCACAGGAUGAUGGAGCUGGGUGGUGUGGAGAGCGUGGAGCCCCCACAGGAUGAUACAGCUGGGUGGUGUUGAGAGUGUGGAACCCCCACAGGAUGAUAGAGCUGGGUGGUGUGGAGAGUGUGGAACCCCCACAGGAUGGGAUGAGAAGGACACUGGGCUCCGGAACCUAGGGCUCCAUCCUCCUCUUCACAAACCCAUUACCCCAGCAUAACCAUGAGAAAAACAUCAGACAACCCAAACUGAGGGGCCUUCUAAACACCUGAGCAGCACACCUCAAAACUGUCAUGGUCUUCAAACCAAGGAAAGUCUAAGAAACUGUCAUGGCCCACGGAGAGGUGAUGAUGCCAUGCCACAGGGGCUUGGAUGGGACAGAGGACGGGAGGGAAACCAGGAAGACCCGGGACAGAGAGAGCACAGGAGGGAGCCAGCAGAGUGUGGGGUUUACUGGCUGGUCAUCAGCACCAGCUUGCAGUGACAGAUGGACCCCGCUGUCGUGGGGUGCUCAUGGUGGCACAGGGUCUAUGCUGUCUGAGAGCUCUCUCUGCAACGUGUCUGUUGAUCAGAAGAUAUUAGAAAUAAAAAGUCUAUUUAAAUGUAUAAUUAAA